Molecule: unclassified non-coding RNA, 3806 nt
Filed under: Diabrotica virgifera virgifera (western corn rootworm)
Lineage: Eukaryota; Metazoa; Arthropoda; Insecta; Coleoptera; Chrysomelidae
Description: inter-alpha-trypsin inhibitor heavy chain H3
Source: RNAcentral
CUUUGACACCCGUAUUUCUUAUCAAAUAAAUCGAAAUAAAUUUAUAAUUGCAAAGCAGAAUAAGUUCAUUUUAGAGAGUAAUUGUUAUGGGUUCACUUAUUCUUUACGACUUUUGAUAAAACUAUAUGGUUACAAUGUUAAGGUUGCAAAAAAGCUAUUUUUGUGUUGUGGUUUGUUUAAUAUUAUUUAUAGGACAAAGUUUUGCAUAUGAGUAUGUAGUGUUUAGGGAUGGUACAGCUUCAAGACCCUCAAUUGUUAAAAGGAAUACCGAAUCUGAUCCUCCAAGAAUUAAAGAAUUUCUGGUCACCACAAAUGUAUCUAACCAUUUUGCAGUAACUAGUGUUGUAAGUAACGUGGAAAACGCAGAUAGAAAUGCAAAGCAAACAGCUUUUUCGGUGGUUCUACCAGAUAGAGCUUUUAUUUCAGGAUUUUCUAUGGAAAUUGAUGGAAUACAAUACAAGGCAUUCGUGAAAGAAAAGGAGAUAGCUAAAAAAAUUUAUGACGAGUCUGUAGCAACAGGACAAAGUGCUGGACAUGUCGCUGUGAGUACGAAAAAUUCCAACAGAUUCACCGUAACCGUCAACGUAGAACCCCUAAGCAAGGUCAUCUUUAAAUUAGAAUAUGAAGAACUAUUGCAAAGAGAAAAUGGACAGUACCAAAUCAUUAGCAAUAUUCAACCUGGACAAAUGGUUAAAAAACUAAAGGUCAUGGUGAUAAUCAGGGAAAAUCAACCUCUAGCUUUCUUGAACACGCCGUAUCUUCAAGCAGGUAGCUCAUCGAUGGAACUGGCACAAACAACUAUAGAUCCUGAUGCACGUGUCUAUAAGAAAAAUAAUUCAGCUCUGAUAAUCUUCGAACCGAAUAUUGAAAGACAAGUGGAGUUUGCGUGCAAUGGACUCGGAAAUACAGAAUAUAAUGGAUUUGCUGGACAGUUUAUUGUUAAUUAUGAUGUUAAUAGGACAAAUGAAGGUGGAGAAGUACUUUAUCAAGAUAAUUUCUUCUUCAUUUCCUUCGCACCACACAGUUUAGAUCCCAUCCCCAAACAUAUGGUUUUUAUACUUGACACUAGCGGAAGUAUGUACGGUUUUAAAAUUAGCCAACUCAAGGAUGCAAUGUCCAAGAUUUUGCCUCAGUUAAACGAAGAUGAUGUCUUCACUGUUCUUCAAUUUGAGGACUAUGUUUUUGAUUGGGAUGAAUACAAAAAUAAAAAUGAUGUGUUUGGUCACGCGGACCCGGAAAAUCUGCCUUAUGGAAAUUUGGCUGAUCGGUUUCAGUCGUAUACUCCUUCGAUAAUUCAAGCCACCAAGAAAAAUAUAGCAACCAUGACGGACGUUAUUAAUGACUUUUAUGAUUCUGGUGGUACUAACAGUAUAGGAGCUUUAGAAGUUGGGCUAAUGGCUGUCUCAAAGACUCAACAACUUUACCCGAAUAAAUAUUUACCUAUUAUUGUCUUUCUCACAGACGGAAUGCCAAAUACUGGCGUUCGUGAUACAACUCUCAUCACUGAAAUGAUUAAAAAAUUAAACAAAGCUAGCUACGAUGUUCCGAUAUAUUCUCUUUCUUUUGGAAAAAAACCAGAUAUAGACCGAAAAUUCCUGCAAGAUUUAAGUGGACUUAAAGCCAAAGAACAUCAAAUUACUGUGGAUUUGAAUUCAUCGAUAUAUAUUCAAGACUUCUACAAAACUAUUUCAGUUCCUAUUUUAAAGAAUGUCGGUGUCAAAAAUUUACCUGCAUCGGCUGAAGUUACACAAAUUAAUUUUCCAAUAUUUUUUAAUGGAUCGGAAUUGGUGAUUGCUGGAAAAGGAAUUGGUGGUAAAAAUUCUCCACCAAUAACGAUUUCAGCAACCUCCAAGAAAGGUCCCAUGGACUUUGAAGCAGAGAUAGGUAUUCCUAUGGUAAAAUUGGAACGAAUUUGGGCCUAUUUAACAGUAAAACAAUUGGCUGAUCAAUAUCACGUCACAGGAAAUACAACACUCGCUAAAAUUGGCUUAGAAAUAGCUAUGAACUAUUCCUUGGUCACCGAUUUUACCUCUUUGGUCGUAGUUAAACCAAAUACCCCUAAUGAAACUGUGAACAUUGAAGAUGCUUACGAGGGGAUCAUUCCAAGAAAGCCUAGUGAAUUACCAAUGUGCAGCAAUAUCACAAGCUACAUUAUAGAAGAAUUUAGCACGCCAGAACCAGAACCAGAACCAACAGAGACUCCGUUUAAUCCAGAUGAUUUACUUGAAGUUGACAGUGGUUUUCUAGUUGUAGAACCUAUUAUAGAAGAAAUAACUACCACCACGAUUACGACAACCCCUACUACAACAAUUACGACAACGACACCUACAACAACUACUCGAGAACUGACCUGCCAUGAAUCCACAUAUGGUUGCUGCCAUGACGGUGUAACAUUUGCGCUAAGACCUAAUUUUGAUGGAUGUGACCCUAUUCCUAAAGCUGAAAGUUGCUCAUUACGUCAAGAUAGUGGAAACUGUGCAAACUCUACCUUUAAAUGGUUUUAUAGUACUCUAAGACAUCAAUGUAGACAGUUCAGAUAUGGCGGAUGUGGUGGAAACGAUAAUAGGUUUGCAAGUAAAGAAACAUGUGAAGAAACUUGCGUCAAUCCAACGGGUCCAGAAAGAUGUAAACUUCCAAUAUCUUUGGGUGGGUGUAAUCACCGAUUACUUCAUUGGUUUUAUGAUCAAUCACAACAGACAUGUGUAAAAUACAUGUAUGGUGGUUGUUUGGGCAAUUCCAACAGGUUUGAGUCGAAAGAAGAGUGUUUAAAAUUAUGCAACCUGAAUACGUAUACGGAAAAUUUAAACGAUGCCUGUUUUAAACCAAAAGACAAAGGUCAUUCACAUUGCCGUAGAUUCGAAAUUAACUAUUAUUUUGACCAGAGUAUUGGAUUAUGCAGAAAAUUUUGGUUCACCGGAUGUGGAGGAAAUGAUAAUCGAUUUAAGACUAAGGCAUUAUGUGAAAAUUUCUGUGUUCGGUCCAAACAUGAAGCAAUGUGUUUCGCACCACCUGACAGAGGAACAUGCAGUAACUUGAAUCAAGCUUGGUUUUAUGAUCCAAGAAGUGCCAUUUGUCAACCUUUCGUUUAUAGCGGAUGUGGAGGAAACGAAAACAGAUUUGAUUCCAAAGAUGACUGUGAGAAUGCGUGUAUUGUAGGAUAAUUAAUAUCAUACAAUGCUCGAAUGUAUUUAUAAAUUAUUUUUAUUUAUAUAGAUCGAAUGUAAUAUGGAAUACAUAGAAGCACUCAAGUGUCCUUCGUGCUGCUUCAAAACCUACAGUUUUGCUAUUCUCAAAGACCAUUGCGAAACACAACACAAUAUAGAUCCCAAAAGAAAGUACUUCUGUGAUAAAUGCCCAUAUACUUCAGCAAAGCGAUGGAAGAUUAUAGAACAUCAAAAGUUUCACAGUGAUAUACCAGGGUUGUAUUUACAUGCUUGCACACUUUGCUCGUUUCGAGCCCCUCACAAAGCCCAACUGGAGAGACAUAUCAUGUUUACCCAUUCACACGAAGUUGACUUGAGAAAAUUUUCUUGCAAAUAUUGUGGGGAAACGUAUACAUCUAAGUCGGCUCUGAAGCAACAUAGACAAAAAGGACAUUAUGUGUGAAAGGAACGUAUUAUGGCUUAUAUUAUAAACUCAGAAUGGAACUGGUGACGUAAUGCAAAAUAUGCAUUUUAUUUAAUACAAAGAGAUAGGUAUAAGAUUUUGAUAGGUAUCUUAUAAGAAAACUUAUGGUUUGUACAUUAUGACUAAGUAGAAUAAAGAAUAUAAUAUUUACACAUAAGUAAAUACAUGUUAAAGAACAA